This is a long non-coding RNA of Prinia subflava (tawny-flanked prinia), 4351 nucleotides long. RefSeq lists it as uncharacterized. The record is from RefSeq and is a predicted model, not a curated record. The transcript has 4 exons. Lineage: Eukaryota; Metazoa; Chordata; Aves; Passeriformes; Cisticolidae.
UCCACCACAAACCUUUGUCAGCUUUCUGCCUUAGCACUUGCAUGACACUGUGUUCCUACAAGCACUGAUAUAUCCCAUUAAGCUGGAAAACACCGGCUCCUUUCCGCCCAGGCUGUCACACGGGUCACAGCACACCCUGCGAGACUCCCCGAGUGCAGACAGCAGCUUGGCCAGCCCUCCGCACUCCAGAGGCCACGGGGGUGAGCAGUGGUGCCGGUGUGGGAUGGAGAUGCACGAAGCAAAUAUAUCAGCACCCAGGGCAAACUGGAGCACCAGGCCGGUGCUGGUGGGGACUCCCCUUCUAAAGGCCUCCCGGGAUAGGGGAGAAGGGCUGAGGAUGCUCUCCAGGAGAACACCGGGCAGGCAGCACAGGACUAUCCUGUUUUCUCCUUUGAGAAGCCAAGGGACCUCUCCACACCUCCUCUUGUGGUGCAGGCCCUCCUAACACAACAGAAAGCAUCAUGGUUCCCAGGAGAUAUUUUAGGAUCCGUCCAUGCCAUCCUGGAAGAGCAACCCUGGAGCUGCAGGUGAGCACCCGUGCCUGGGGACACAGCCAUCUGGACCUCCUGGGACACGUCCUACACCAGCAAAAGCUGCAGGAUUUGGCUACAGUGGGCAGCCACUGAGAGGGGAACGUGGCCAGGACCACCCUGUGUGUUAGCCCAGCCUCUGCCACACUGAGAAAUGGGGAGCAUGGAAGGGAGAAUGCAGAGGAGAUGAUGGCUCCCAUGGGCCCUGCUCAUCGUGAGUGCCAGGGUGGAGUUUGGACCUCCAGCUUUGCAGAUGCUCUUCUGAGACACUUUGGAUUUUCCCUAAACCUCUUCCUCCUAAUGAUUUUAAUUAUACUGGCUGCUGUUCAAAAUAAUAAUGACAGGGAGAGGAAUAAAUGGUAAGCAGCAGCCUGUCACGCUUCAUGAGAUGCCCCCAGGGGACACUGGGCUAGACAAGCAGCCAGCCCAGAGCCAUGCCAGCCAAGUGGGUGCAGGCUGCCACCCUGCAUCAGCCACGAGCAGUUUCUGGGGUCUGGGCUGACCUGUGUGAGCAUGAGAGCCUGUGCAGGCACUAAGGUCUCCUGUCUACCCGCCCCCCCCCGUCUCCUUUUAUUCGCCUCCAUAAAACAUAGGAAGUUCAAGCCAUUCAUUUUGCUAUUUAUGUCUCCUUCCCCACGCCCUGGUUCCCUCCCUUGCCCCCUGCAGCCUCUCCUCUCACUGCUUGCCCAGCAUCCUUGACCCCAAGAAGUCUGGUGUGUAUGCACUUCCCUUUUGGCCCAUGGAAAGCACCACUCUGAACUGGUGCCUUGAUAAGUCUGCUGUGGGAAGGCAGGGGCUCCUGGGCUCCCACACAGGGCUUUCCCAUGUAGCAUUUCCUAUGCUGUCCCUGCUCACCCGUGUGAUCUCCAGACCCGGGCAGUGGGAAGCUCUCUGGAUGGCAGUGCCCCUCCAUGGCAGCAGGUCUGACCUCAGGAUCUCAUGACUUGCUCUGUGUCAAAAGCCACAGCGUAUGGAAGAAGGUAUCCUCCUGAGCAGGAGGAGGAAAAUGACUGACUUCUCAUGGGGUAACAUGGCACCUCUCAGUUCAGCCACAGCAAAGGAUUGCAAAGGACUCAAACACCCCAGCCCCUUUUUCUCGGUGCUUUUGCAAGCAGAGUGCUCUGAUACGGUCUCCCACAGAGUUUGGGAUCAACCAGACCUGUGUCCUGUCAGCAAAGGAGCAAGCGAGUGGCAGAGCAGACAGGACUGGGCUCGAGACCUCCGAGGGGCUGGAGACAGGGAUUGACUGGCACAGAGGGAGGAAGGAGAGGCUCGGCAAGGAGGGCUGGGCCCUUAUCUCUCAAAUAACCUCAGCAGUUCAGCCGUGGCUUGCCGGAGGGAGAAGGCAGCGUGUUCCCUCCUCACUGCCCUCAUCCAGCCGAGACAGGUCACCGCGGCUGUGCCGUGCCCUCUGCUCCCCGCAGUGAUGGGAGCACAGAUAAGAACCUUGUCCCGCUUAUCGCCCCAUCAGCGGCUCUGCAGCGGCUCCGCUGCCCAGCACCGAGCACCGAGCCCUGAUCUCAUCAGCGCGCCGCACACUUGCAGCUCGAACAAUAACCAACACAAUUCCCAGAAAUGCACAGCCUCCUGCUAAAGCCUCCCUGGGGGAAAGCAUGCCAGCCGGCCUGUCGGCACCAGCACAGCCAUCGCUGCCAGCCCCUGGCAAACGCAGCCUGCGGCGGCCCCAGCCCGGAGGAACCUCUGCGAAAACAAGGGUGUGCUGGGUGGGGUGGAGGGAGAGGCCGAGCUCGAGUCCUUGGGGCCACCCAUGAGCUCACUGGCCUCAGGAAGUCCCUCUCUCUCCCUCUUGCUGUUUGUGACCAGGUGUCUUGCCCUGUCCCAGCCACCCCAUUUGCAGCCCCUGCCCGCUCUGAAUGCCAGCUCAGUUCACAAAGGGGCCAAGGUGCAAAAUAAGCCCCGGCUGCCUGGGCUGGGAGGAUAGAGGCAGGGCCAUGGACACUCUUCACCUCAAUGGGGACCUGCAGCCUGGAGAGGCUUUUCCACAUCUCACAGCUUCCCUAAGUGUCUCAGUCCACCAGAGCCUUUCCUGUCACAUUUGAGUAAUUGCUAUUUCCACUUCCAGAUGGAAUAUCUGGACACUGUUGCAGGCAUGGCUGGAUGCUCGAAGCGUGUAUUUACCCUGUCCCAGCCAAGCUGGAAGUGGGAGAGGGCCAGCAGCUGGCAUGGCCAUUCUUUCUCCAAGCACUCUGGAGCUCACCAGAUUGUCUUCUCCUCACACAAGGCCAGAUGUGCCACCCAGUGAAGCAGCACAGUACAGAAGCAGAGCUGUCACCUCCAGACCUCACAGCAAUGCAGCAGACACCAAAUCCCCAUGCAAAAGGUGCAACGCCAGCACCAUCCCAGAACCCACAAGAGUGAAGAGCAGCACCUGGAAUGGUACAACGGUGUUCCAGUGCAGGAGGAUGAGCCUUGCAGCGUCCAAAGUGAAGGGGGACCUGCCUCCCAGUGUCCCUGACACGAGGUGCAUUGUUCAUGAAAACACAUGGGGAAGUCCAAGGAGGACAGACUCGCUGGCUGCGUUGGGUUUCCUGCCUCCUGGCCCCGGCUGCCGCCUGACAUCAUCGCUCCCGGUGGGAAUGGCCACCCUGGCCCCACUCGGUCCCUGACAUUAGCCAACAAUUUCCUGACCUCCUGUCCGGCUUUUCAGCCUCCCACGGCUCCCUCAUGGUGGGGAGACCUUUGUGCCUGAAAUGAUAGAAAGCACCCAAAAGGAGGUCAGGCAUCCCGAGGCAGCCAGCCUGGGCAUGCAGAGUGAGCAGGAUCCCAGUUCUUGGCUGCAUCUCCUGCACAGACACCAGCAAGCAGCAUUUUCUGCCAACUCAAGGGAUGGAAGCAGUGAAUAACCCCGGCAUGCCCAGGCUCUGCACAGCCCAACUGUCGGCCAGCUGCCUGUUCCUGGGAGGAUGCAGUGCCACAGGCAGGGAGCAUUUUCUUGCUAUAAUCAAGAAAAGAAAUUGUGCGGAUCGGAGCAGCUGAAUGGCAGCCAAAUCUGCUUCUCGGCGGCUUUUCUACACUCUGUAUUCAUGUAUUUGGCAUGAGUAGCUCUACAUUGAGAUGCGGUGUCUGAUUGCCAGGCUUGGCCGACACAGCCCACAGCACACUCCUAGCUCAGCUCCUGCAGCUGCUGGGGACCUGUGGAGAGGUUGGCAGCAGGGCAGAGUGGCAGUGAGCACCCAGGCAGAGAGCCACUGUGGCCCAGAACGACUUCCUGCUGUCCCUGAUGCCCUUCACUUGUCAGAGGGAGUUGGCAGCAAAAAAAAAGAGUACAUGAGCAGAAAACAGCUGAAUUGGGCGUUCCCUGGACUGGGAGUGGCACAACUGCCCACUUUCCCCCACUUGGGUGGGAGUCUGGUCCCUGGCUGGGGACACAGGGGAUUUGUCACCCUUGUACAGGCACACGGCUGCAGGCAGGAUGCUCCUGACAUGGCUGCUGAACCCCAGCUGCCUGGCUCGGCACUUUCCACCUCUGCCUGACCCACUGAACUAUUUGUACCCGAGGAAACCGGGUGCUGAGUUGGGCCUUGCAGAAAGGGAGGCUCCAGUGAACACAGCAUUUCCCAGCGGAUGACUUCAGCCUCCCAGCAGGGCGCACAGACAGCCCCAGCCCUGAGUCCUUUGCUCUCCAGGAAGUGCCUUUCUUUGGGAAGCCUUUGUUCCAGCAAGGCUGGAGCAGCCCCAGCCCCAGGGGAGCCCACGGGACCUGCUGGCACGGGGGCACCUCUCAGGGCACUGGAGGAGCUGCCAGCCUGGGCCAUGCUGCACAGGUCCCCCCAAAUUGUGUGAGGAACAUCCCUCCUCCC